Molecule: long non-coding RNA, 5157 nt
Organism: Sapajus apella (tufted capuchin)
Lineage: Eukaryota; Metazoa; Chordata; Mammalia; Primates; Cebidae
Exons: 3
Source: RefSeq, a predicted model, not a curated record
CAAUAGCGUAGGUGCUGUCUUUCUCUCUCAAAUAAAUCCCUUUUCUGCAAAACUCUGGGUCCACGAUAUUUAUUCCAAUGGCAACCUCUCCUCGCCUCUGGGACCCCUUUCCCCAUUCUGCGGAGUUAGCGAGACUAAGAACCUCUUUGGAACGGCUAUUGGUUUCACCCUUCUAAUAUCCUGUUUGAAGAAGAAAUGGGAGCACAGAGAACUUGGGUCAACAUGAGAGCUGUCACAGAAUCUACAUAGACUGAGAAGAGAACAGAGGAUGGGGCAAAGAAGGUCCCAGUGAUGAGGAGAUAACUAGGGGAAUUACUGAAAAAAAGAAAGAAGAGAGUAAUAAUCUCAGGAACCAGAAAUUGGUGUGAAAGUCAAAACAUCCACUGAUUCAGUAAGUAAUUUUGUAUGAAGGUCAAAACGUUAUUUAUCUGAAUUGCUAGAUAGCUAUAUAAAUUUUACACCAGUAUUUGGAGACAAAUGAAUUAAAAGCAAUGAAUUUAACUACACGGUAUGAUUUGGGGUGACAAUUCAGUAUAACAGUUGUUAAUGUUCCGUAUCCUAUGUCUUCAAAAAUAAUUUUUGAUAUAUUUAAUUUGCAAAGAUAAGUAAAUAUACAACAAAGUACAAAUUAAAGUUACUUUGCUCUUUAUUAACUUUGCAUUUAUAUAUUAGACAAGCUAACCUUGCCAAAUAUUAAGUGUAUAUGUAUGUGUUUAAUAGGAACAAUGUUUAUGAACAAGCCCACUAAAACAGCUCAUUUUGGUUGUAAAACAAAUAUGAAAUAAUGCUCUCAGUGACUCUGCUUCGAGUGUGAAUAGUUACAUGCCUGUGGUUUGCGGAGACAGUAAAAGAUGUUUUAUGUUGGGUCUGUUUAUACUGAAGAUUUGCUAGUUCUUGGGCAAGUAUAAGGAGACACAUUAAUCUGAAUAUUCUAUCCUUCAUAAAGCCAUUUAGGCUAUUUAUAAGCUCUCUUUCCUAGUGGGAAAUAGCAGAUUAUUCUAUUCAGUAUUUUUCCAGUAAAACUGACCUAUUUAAAAUUUUCCCAAUAAGUCCUUUUCCCUCCUGCUGUAAGGUUUCUUUGCUAAAUUGAACUGGAUUUAUUUGUGGAAGCCAUAAUGUUAGCAUUCAGCUUAAUAGUCAUAAAUGAUUUUAUUGAGUUUGGAUAGGAACUUUAUUAAGUUUAAAAUAUGCUUGAAAACAUUCCUGUUGUAUUUGAAUGAAUCCACACAUUCUCCACAUACUUAAAUUUCCAUCCCCUUUAGUAUAAUUUUUAAAUGCUUCUGAAAUUAGGAAGUUAGAUCUUGCUGUUAAGAAAAGGUUGACUGAAAAGGUAUUGUGUUCAUUUCAAAUCCUGAUGAAUGGCAGGGGAUUAUAAGUCGGUGUGAAUUUUAGUGUCUGAACAGAUCAUCAAGAAACAGCUUACUCACAGACUUAGUGUAUGAAGGCCAAAAUGUUAUUUAUGUGACAUGAAUAUAUCUCUAGUCUAUAGACAGACUAGAGAUAUUGAAAUAGUAAUAAAUGUAGUUAUUUUACCUAUAAUGGCAGUUCUGGAGAGUUCAAGGCAAAGAUAGGAAAAUUAUUUUAAAAGUAGUAACAACUAUGUUAGAAUGGUAACUCUUAUACAUGCUUUUAGUUUGAUAGCUAUACAAGAAGAAAUCUAAAAGCACAUCAGACAAAGGUAGACUUUGCCUGGUUUUUGGUGCCUCACAUUCAUUUGGCCUUUUAAACAGCACUCUCACUUUUCCCCCAUGAGUUGACCACUUCAUCAUCAUUGAUUGUUGGGAUAAAACAAGUAUUUCCCUUUCCCUGGCUACAGCGUGUACAAAUAGCACUGGCUAUAUCCUUUUUUCUUCUGUUCUGAGAUUUGAAUCAAGAUCCAAGAAACAAAGAGCCUGAAGUAGUUUGAUAUCCUUUUUUGAUGUUGUUAAGUUUUUUCAGUUCAUGUUUAGUUCAGGGGCCUCUUUGAGCUUGGGAGGAUGAAGAUUAUACCCCUUCUUCCCAUUUCUGGAGGCACAGAACUCUCCCCAGCCUUUGGGGCUCCCUUUAUUGAUAACUAGAAUUGGCUGGAAUCAGCCAAUGAAAUGCUGUAAGGAAUAUUCUUAUCUAGAUCAAUUAUUUUACUAAAUAGGGAUUUUAAGGAUAUUGAAUAGCCCUACAAAGCCAGCACAGACUGAUGGUAGGGAGGUCAUACUGACAGAGUAGCCCUGAAGAGUCUGCUAUUGACUAGUACAUAGACUAAAUCCUUAGUCAAAUAUUUGUGCACCUAUUAUAUGGUGCUGAAAGAUACAUAAUAAACAAAACAGGAUUCUCAUCUUUCAGUAAUUUUAUCUAAAUUUUAAAGACAAUAUCCACAAACAUGAGCACAUUUGAAAACCAUAAGGUAGUUUAUGAAUAAGCAUCUAAAAAACUGUUACUAUUGUAUAGAUGAAGUCCACCAUACAUUUGCGUACAAACAUUUGUCACCUGGUUAACUUUAGAUGUCUCACAAAAGCUUCAUACAUUUUAUUUUAAUCUUGAAACAAUAUUUUAGUUUAUAAAUGACAAAAGUAGUGAGGACAGAAUCUAUCAAGCUUAUUUUUUUCAUAUUUUCAAUUUCUGGAAUUCUGACAAUGAGAAAAGAAAACAAUUUUGGCUCAUAGUAGCAGCAGUGGAAAUCAUAAAAAAUAAUAUUAAAAAUAGUAGCUAACAACUGUUGGUAUUUACAGCAUUGUUCUUAGACAGUGCCUGAAAGAAAGCACACGUUAAAUAAAUAUGGUCUCUGAGGUUCUAUUUAUGUUGUUCAAUCCUGAGAACAAUAUUGUGAGGUAGAUACCAUAAUUCUUCACAUUGAAGUCCAGCAAAUUUAGAGGUUUUAAAAGAUGAUUCAGUUAGUAAGUUAAUAAGUACUUCUAGAAUUCAUACCUAGGCUUUUCUGAAUCCAGAAUGUGUACUUUUAUUAUUGUGCUAUUAUGUGCUUCACGUAUAUGGGAUCCAAAAAGAAACUUGAAAGAUGAAUAACAUUUAGGAAAACGGGACAAUAAGACUUUACAGAGAUGUUAAUCUCUACAUGAUUUCCCACUGGCUGGCCCUUAAAAAGUAUUCAAUUAAUGUGUACUGAAUUAAAUUAAUGCAUAGCUUCACAUCAAAAUAUGGCAUGUGUUGGGUUCAACUCAAUAGUGUCAUAUGGAAAAAGAAGUUGUAGAAACUUCAGAAAUGGGAUUUUACAAUAUUUUUUAUCAAAUGUUCUAGGUAAUACUAAAGUUCGUGAAGAUUUUGUGUUUUUCAUGCUUUUUUUUUCCCCUGUUCUCCAUUUUUUUUUGUGCACAUAACCUUUUGAAAUCAAGCAAAACCAUGUGAUUUGCUUCAAUGAAUUGGAUGUUUGUAAACUCCUGGGAAGAAGUGUUUAAGUGCUGGUGGUCAUUUUUUCACGUUAUCUUCCUGUGCCACCACCAUCUGGGCACCAUGAGUUCAAAUAGAGAUGCCAUAAGCUUGAAAUAGAUUUUAAUGGUGAAUAUUCAUUUAGAGCACAAAAGCCCUGAAGAGUUGCCUGGACCUAAUGCAGAAUUCAUAUGCAUGAGAAGUAAAGUUUUAUUUUGCUAAACUACUGAGACGUUAGCAUUGUUUCUUACCCUAGCAUGAUUAGAUUCUCCCAUUUAAUGUAAUAUACUAGAAUGUAGUUUUAGAAAAUCCUUAAAGAAUGCUUGCACAUGGCCUUAUACAUAUUUUUUAAUGACAAAUGCUAACCCACUUAUUCACACAGAUUAAAAUGAAAUAGCUUUUGAUACCAGUUAUUUCUAUUCUGUUCUCUUGGAUUUUUUGUUUUAUAGGGAGUGUUCUGCAUAUUGCCAUGGUGCCUGACUCUUUUUUUGCUAAUCAGCUAUGAAAAUGUACUCCUGAUAAAGCAAGAGGAACUUGCUUUGGGAUUUUUUUUUUGCAAUUGGUUUGCUUGGUAGAUUAACACAAGUGUGUAAUGUAUUGUAUGAAGUACUUUUCAAACUUUGAGAAGGGGGAUAGAUCUUUUUCUUAUAUAUCCUUAGUUUUAUGCAUUUUAAAAAUGAAUAAUGAAUAUUAUUGUAAAAUAAGGCUACAGCUUCCCAAUUCUCCUUAACUUUCUGGAAGCAUUGAAACACUCCAUUUUAGAACACCACGAAUUUCUACCAUUAAAAUGUGAAAUUUCUCUUCUUCAAGAAGUGUAUUAAGGUAGAGUAGGAGAUGAACAUUGUCUUUUUUCUUCCUUUCUGAGACAAUCAGGAUUUUGUCAACAAAAUGUUUUGCUCAGUCCCAGGAGAGUAAUCAUGAUAGAUUAAAGCCAGUCAUCUCCAUCUCACUUCCCUAUUAAGGCACUUGCAUUCCCAACUGCCCUGUGCUAAUACAGGACACCUUUUAAGAAACUAGAUGCAAAUAAGAAAAAUAUUUUGAUUUCAAAUAAAAGAUUCUGGAGAAUGAGAAAAGCUAGCUUAUGCUAUUCCUGUGCAACAGCCAUCCAACAAUAUGCUAAGAAGUCUCAUCAGAUCCAAAAGCCAGUGCCAUUAGGGUAGUGGAGCAUAAGGGAAAAGCUGGUGAAAGCAAUGAACUGAUGGACCACAAGACCAAAGGUUUAACUGUAUAUCUUGAAGUUUUCGAUGUAUGACAUCAUUAGUGAUUUUUUGCUUUAGCCAGUUCGUGAAUUUUUAAUUACUUGCAUGAGAAAUGUGUUCUGUCUCACAGAACUAGACUCUGAGCUUCUAGUCACAGAGGAGGGCUGAAACUACUCUUGUUCUAUCACUGAUGCUCAGUAUGGUGCCUGACACAUGGUUGAUGUUGAUGCUCAUUAAAUAUUUGUUGUAUGAGGGGUUUACAAAUGAGUGUUUGCUUCAUAUUUUGUUAUUUUUAUGUAAUUCAUAUGUUUUGUUAAUAUUAGUGCAUGUAUGAACAAUUUAUAUGCCCAAGUCCCCCUGUUAUUUUCCUCCCUACUUAGGAAAACAUUUUUUUAAAUGUACUUUAAGUUCUGGGAUACAUGUGCAGAAUGUGCAGGUUUGUUACAUAGUUACAUAUGUGUCAUGCUGGUUUGCUGUAUCCAUCACCCCGUCAUCUACAUUAGCUAUUUCUCCUAAUACUAUCCCUCCCCCAGCCCCCAUGCCCAAACAGGCCCUGAUGUGCGACAUUCCCCUCCCUGUGUCCAUGUGUUCUCAUUGUUCA